Molecule: ribosomal RNA, 868 nt
Filed under: Halorubrum distributum JCM 10118
Lineage: Archaea; Methanobacteriati; Methanobacteriota; Halobacteria; Halobacteriales; Haloferacaceae
Description: bacterial LSU rRNA
Rfam family: Archaeal large subunit ribosomal RNA
Source: RNAcentral
GACCCCCAAGGGGAAGCGAAGACCCUAUAGAGCUUUACUGCAGGCUGUCGCUGAGACGUGGUCGCCGAUGUGCAGCAUAGGUAGGAGUCGUUACAGAGGUACGCGCGCCAGCGCGCCACCCAGACAGCAUUGAAAUACUACCCGUCGGUGACUGCGACUCUCACUCCGGGAGGAGUACACCGGUAGCCGGGCAGUUUGACUGGGGCGGUACGCGCUNCAUUGAAAUACUACCCGUCGGUGACUGCGACUCUCACUCCGGGAGGAGUACACCGGUAGCCGGGCAGUUUGACUGGGGCGGUACGCGCUCGAAAAGAUAUCGAGCGCGCCCGAAGAUCAUCUCAGCCGGGUCGGGAAUCCGGCGAAGAGCGCAAGAGCACAAGAUGGUCUGACAGUGUUCUUCCCAACGAGGAACGCUGACGCGAAAGCGUGGUCUAGCGAACCUACGAGGUUCCGGAAUGGGACCCGUAGAUGACAGAAAAGCUACCUUAGGGAUAACAGAGUCGUCACUCGCAAGAGCACAUAUCGACCGAGUGGCUUGCUACCUCGAUGUCGGUUCCCUCCAUCCUGCCCGUGCAGAAGCGGGCAAGGGUGAGGUUGUUCGCCUAUUAAAGGAGGUCGUGAGCUGGGUUUAGACCGUCGUGAGACAGGUCGGCUGCUAUCUAUUGGGGGNNGCCACUGGUGUAUCGGUUGUCCGAGAGGGCAGAUGCCGAGUAGCCACGCGACACGGGGUAAGAGCUGAACGCAUCUAAGCUCGAAACCCACAUGGAAAAGAGGUACCACAGAGGUCACUCGUAGAAGACGAGUUCGAUAGACUCGGGGUGUACGCACCAAGGCAACGAGGUGUUAAGCCCACGAGCACUAACAGACC